GGCUGCAGUCCAAAGAGAGGCUGGUGCACUUGAAUGCUGCAUGUUCAUGUGACAAGAGCGUGGAAGGCGAGAGAAAAGUGCUGCAGGGGAGGGUCCAGACGGGAGACACCGAGCGGCCUGGCUCAUGUCCUCCGUGCUGGACCCCUGAGAACAGGAGCAGCCUCCAGUCAGCAGUGUCUCAGGAAAAGAGAGACUGGAGAGGACAGAGCAGGCAAUGGCUGUUCCCAAACUGGUGAAAGUGGGGGAAAGCUGCGUAGUUUAGUAGAUAUCCUGCCCCAGCAGUCCCUGCAUGGAAGAUAAAAUUGAAUCUGCCUAACUCUUAUCCAGAUAAAAUAAGGAAAGUCUGGAGAAAUAAUUAAGCCCGAGGCAGCUGUGGAUAAAAAGAAACUGCACAGGACAUGUCAGCAACACAGUGGAGGUGGGGCGACCCUGCAAGGCUACAGAGUCAAGAUCCAAGAGGUGUGUUAAGAUCCACAGAUCCCAUGGAUACUAGGACUUCCCCGGUGGUGCAGUGGUUAAGAAGGAUCCCUGGAAGGAUCCCACAUACAUGCUGCGGAGCAACUAGACCUGUACACCACAGCUACUGAACCUCUGCUCUGCAGCAACAGAAGCCAACGAAAUAAGGAGCCUGGGCACAGCAACAAGGAGUAGCCAUGGCUUGCUGAAACUGGAGAAAGCCCUCAUGCAGCAACGAAGACUCAGCACAGCCAAAAUCAAUCAACUAAUCAAAAAUAAGAGAGUGGAUACUGUGGAUCACUGUGCAGCAUGCAGGAUCUUAGUUCCCUGACCAGGGAUGAAACGCACACCCCUUGCUUUGGGGGUGCAGAUUCCUAACCACCAGUCUGCAAGAAAAGUCCCAAGAAAACUAUUUUAAAUGCCUUAUGUUGUUUCCUGGUGCAAAGAAGAUGGAGUACGCACAUUCCAUCAUCUUCCUCUCACAACUUACAACCAAAAUUGCUAUUCAAAACACAUGGCAUAACUAUCAGAAAAACCUCUCAAAAGGUGGAGAAAAGAAGGCAAACUGACUGGAGACUCAAGGGGUAACUCAGUGG
Long non-coding RNA from Bos taurus (domestic cattle), 1052 nucleotides. The record is from Ensembl. Lineage: Eukaryota; Metazoa; Chordata; Mammalia; Artiodactyla; Bovidae.